RNAcentral lists this ribosomal RNA (2905 nucleotides) under Escherichia coli. Its description in RNAcentral is "23S ribosomal RNA". It matches the Rfam family "Bacterial large subunit ribosomal RNA". The record is from RNAcentral. Lineage: Bacteria; Pseudomonadati; Pseudomonadota; Gammaproteobacteria; Enterobacterales; Enterobacteriaceae.
GGUUAAGCGACUAAGCGUACACGGUGGAUGCCCUGGCAGUCAGAGGCGAUGAAGGACGUGCUAAUCUGCGAUAAGCGUCGGUAAGGUGAUAUGAACCGUUAUAACCGGCGAUUUCCGAAUGGGGAAACCCAGUGUGUUUCGACACACUAUCAUUAACUGAAUCCAUAGGUUAAUGAGGCGAACCGGGGGAACUGAAACAUCUAAGUACCCCGAGGAAAAGAAAUCAACCGAGAUUCCCCCAGUAGCGGCGAGCGAACGGGGAGCAGCCCAGAGCCUGAAUCAGUGUGUGUGUUAGUGGAAGCGUCUGGAAAGGCGCGCGAUACAGGGUGACAGCCCCGUACACAAAAAUGCACAUGCUGUGAGCUCGAUGAGUAGGGCGGGACACGUGGUAUCCUGUCUGAAUAUGGGGGGACCAUCCUCCAAGGCUAAAUACUCCUGACUGACCGAUAGUGAACCAGUACCGUGAGGGAAAGGCGAAAAGAACCCCGGCGAGGGGAGUGAAAAAGAACCUGAAACCGUGUACGUACAAGCAGUGGGAGCACGCUUAGGCGUGUGACUGCGUACCUUUUGUAUAAUGGGUCAGCGACUUAUAUUCUGUAGCAAGGUUAACCGAAUAGGGGAGCCGAAGGGAAACCGAGUCUUAACUGGGCGUUAAGUUGCAGGGUAUAGACCCGAAACCCGGUGAUCUAGCCAUGGGCAGGUUGAAGGUUGGGUAACACUAACUGGAGGACCGAACCGACUAAUGUUGAAAAAUUAGCGGAUGACUUGUGGCUGGGGGUGAAAGGCCAAUCAAACCGGGAGAUAGCUGGUUCUCCCCGAAAGCUAUUUAGGUAGCGCCUCGUGAAUUCAUCUCCGGGGGUAGAGCACUGUUUCGGCAAGGGGGUCAUCCCGACUUACCAACCCGAUGCAAACUGCGAAUACCGGAGAAUGUUAUCACGGGAGACACACGGCGGGUGCUAACGUCCGUCGUGAAGAGGGAAACAACCCAGACCGCCAGCUAAGGUCCCAAAGUCAUGGUUAAGUGGGAAACGAUGUGGGAAGGCCCAGACAGCCAGGAUGUUGGCUUAGAAGCAGCCAUCAUUUAAAGAAAGCGUAAUAGCUCACUGGUCGAGUCGGCCUGCGCGGAAGAUGUAACGGGGCUAAACCAUGCACCGAAGCUGCGGCAGCGACACUAUGUGUUGUUGGGUAGGGGAGCGUUCUGUAAGCCUGUGAAGGUGUACUGUGAGGUAUGCUGGAGGUAUCAGAAGUGCGAAUGCUGACAUAAGUAACGAUAAAGCGGGUGAAAAGCCCGCUCGCCGGAAGACCAAGGGUUCCUGUCCAACGUUAAUCGGGGCAGGGUGAGUCGACCCCUAAGGCGAGGCCGAAAGGCGUAGUCGAUGGGAAACAGGUUAAUAUUCCUGUACUUGGUGUUACUGCGAAGGGGGGACGGAGAAGGCUAUGUUGGCCGGGCGACGGUUGUCCCGGUUUAAGCGUGUAGGCUGGUUUUCCAGGCAAAUCCGGAAAAUCAAGGCUGAGGCGUGAUGACGAGGCACUACGGUGCUGAAGCAACAAAUGCCCUGCUUCCAGGAAAAGCCUCUAAGCAUCAGGUAACAUCAAAUCGUACCCCAAACCGACACAGGUGGUCAGGUAGAGAAUACCAAGGCGCUUGAGAGAACUCGGGUGAAGGAACUAGGCAAAAUGGUGCCGUAACUUCGGGAGAAGGCACGCUGAUAUGUAGGUGAAGUCCCUCGCGGAUGGAGCUGAAAUCAGUCGAAGAUACCAGCUGGCUGCAACUGUUUAUUAAAAACACAGCACUGUGCAAACACGAAAGUGGACGUAUACGGUGUGACGCCUGCCCGGUGCCGGAAGGUUAAUUGAUGGGGUUAGCCGCAAGGCGAAGCUCUUGAUCGAAGCCCCGGUAAACGGCGGCCGUAACUAUAACGGUCCUAAGGUAGCGAAAUUCCUUGUCGGGUAAGUUCCGACCUGCACGAAUGGCGUAAUGAUGGCCAGGCUGUCUCCACCCGAGACUCAGUGAAAUUGAACUCGCUGUGAAGAUGCAGUGUACCCGCGGCAAGACGGAAAGACCCCGUGAACCUUUACUAUAGCUUGACACUGAACAUUGAGCCUUGAUGUGUAGGAUAGGUGGGAGGCUUAGAAGUGUGGACGCCAGUCUGCAUGGAGCCGACCUUGAAAUACCACCCUUUAAUGUUUGAUGUUCUAACGUUGACCCGUAAUCCGGGUUGCGGACAGUGUCUGGUGGGUAGUUUGACUGGGGCGGUCUCCUCCUAAAGAGUAACGGAGGAGCACGAAGGUUGGCUAAUCCUGGUCGGACAUCAGGAGGUUAGUGCAAUGGCAUAAGCCAGCUUGACUGCGAGCGUGACGGCGCGAGCAGGUGCGAAAGCAGGUCAUAGUGAUCCGGUGGUUCUGAAUGGAAGGGCCAUCGCUCAACGGAUAAAAGGUACUCCGGGGAUAACAGGCUGAUACCGCCCAAGAGUUCAUAUCGACGGCGGUGUUUGGCACCUCGAUGUCGGCUCAUCACAUCCUGGGGCUGAAGUAGGUCCCAAGGGUAUGGCUGUUCGCCAUUUAAAGUGGUACGCGAGCUGGGUUUAGAACGUCGUGAGACAGUUCGGUCCCUAUCUGCCGUGGGCGCUGGAGAACUGAGGGGGGCUGCUCCUAGUACGAGAGGACCGGAGUGGACGCAUCACUGGUGUUCGGGUUGUCAUGCCAAUGGCACUGCCCGGUAGCUAAAUGCGGAAGAGAUAAGUGCUGAAAGCAUCUAAGCACGAAACUUGCCCCGAGAUGAGUUCUCCCUGACUCCUUGAGAGUCCUGAAGGAACGUUGAAGACGACGACGUUGAUAGGCCGGGUGUGUAAGCGCAGCGAUGCGUUGAGCUAACCGGUACUAAUGAACCGUGAGGCUUAACCUU